Molecule: long non-coding RNA, 424 nt
Filed under: Vigna radiata
Lineage: Eukaryota; Viridiplantae; Streptophyta; Magnoliopsida; Fabales; Fabaceae
Description: long non-coding RNA (VRAD_LNC011468)
Source: RNAcentral
UCAACUCUUAUACAUUGCUGUUUCAAUCUUGAAGACUAGAACUGGCUACUGCAGAACUUGUUUUCUGCUAUGGAACAAUUUGUAUUCAGCAAUUGAUUUGCAAUCAGAUGUAGGCUUGAGGAUCUGCACGUUGCCUAGCUCAAAGAUCUUAUGAAACUGUGGUUGUUGGCUUAUACAAGUAGUUCCCAAUUAAUUUUGCACCUCUGCAACAUAUCAUAAUCCAGCAGAUACAAUAAAUGAAUUAGUGCAGUGGUUACUUCGAAAAAUUUGGUUUAGUGUAGUUUAUAAUUUUGCCAAACUGAUCAAACAGUGUGUUAGGCUAAUGAGAAUAAGUUCAGCACAUUGAUUGAAACAAAGCUUCUNAAAAUCAGAUUUUAAUCAGCUAUACAGAGUUCAAUUCAGUGGUAUUUGGAUUUGUCAGAAU